Molecule: ribosomal RNA, 584 nt
Filed under: uncultured bacterium
Lineage: Bacteria
Description: bacterial SSU rRNA
Rfam family: Bacterial small subunit ribosomal RNA
Source: RNAcentral
CCUACGGGAGGCAGCAGUGGGGAAUUUUGGACAAUGGACGCAAGUCUGAUCCAGCCAUGCCGCGUGUGGGAAGAAGGCCUUCGGGUUGUAAACCACUUUUGUCAGGGAAGAAACGGCUCGGGUUAAUACCUUGGGCUAAUGACGGUACCUGAAGAAUAAGCACCGGCUAACUACGUGCCAGCAGCCGCGGUAAUACGUAGGGUGCAAGCGUUAAUCGGAAUUACUGGGCGUAAAGCGUGCGCAGGCGGUUAUGCAAGACAGAUGUGAAAUCCCCGGGCUCAACCUGGGAACUGCAUUUGUGACUGCAUGGCUAGAGUACGGUAGAGGGGGAUGGAAUUCCGCGUGUAGCAGUGAAAUGCGUAGAUAUGCGGAGGAACACCGAUGGCGAAGGCAAUCCCCUGGACCUGUACUGACGCUCAUGCACGAAAGCGUGGGGAGCAAACAGGAUUAGAUACCCUGGUAGUCCACGCCCUAAACGAUGUCAACUGGUUGUUGGGAGGGUUUCUUCUCAGUAACGUAGCUAACGCGUGAAGUUGACGCCUGGGGAGUACGGCGCAAGGUUGAAACUCGAAAUGAAUUGACGG